This 68-nucleotide transfer RNA is filed under the name Coccocrater sp. MNHN-IM-2013-41044. RNAcentral describes it as "tRNA-Phe". Lineage: Eukaryota; Metazoa; Mollusca; Gastropoda; Cocculinidae. The record is from RNAcentral.
GUUCUAGUAGCUUAUAUUAGAGCACAACACUGAAGAUGUUGUGGAGGAAACCCAGAUUCCCGAGAACG